CCAGCAUGGCCAAACAGCGAUUCGAAAGAGCUGCAAGACAGUGGAAUCCCAUAAACCACGCCAGUAGUGCAAGGAGCAUAUCUGUGGACAUGACUGGAGACACAUUUGUUCCCUUUCCCUGGCUGCUGACACAAUGCUCUAUCCACCAAAGUACACACAUUAUGCCCUUUAUUACAUGCUGAGAAUGACAUGUUUAUGCAAUAACGAGCACCAACAUUUUUCAAACCAUGUGCUAUCCUGUGUAUGUAUGGGAUAACUGCCUGC
Long non-coding RNA from Rhipicephalus microplus (southern cattle tick), 264 nucleotides. NCBI's taxonomy places the organism in Eukaryota, Metazoa, Arthropoda, Arachnida, Ixodida, Ixodidae. The record is from RefSeq and is a predicted model, not a curated record.